UUGGAGGGCAAGUCUGGUGCCAGCAGCCGCGGUAAUUCCAGCUCCAAUAGCGUAUAUUAAAGUUGUUGCAGUUAAAAAGCUCGUAGUUGAAUUUCGGGAUCAAUACGUCGGUCGUGCUUUUUUGGUACGCACUGGCGUCAUUGGUUUCUCCUUUCUGACGAACCAUGAUGUCAUUAAUUUGGUGUUAUGGGGAGUUAGGACUGUUACUUUGAAAAAAUUAGAGUGUUUAAAGCAGGCAUUAGCUUGAAUACAUUAGCAUGGAAUAAUGAAAUAGGACGUUCGAUCCUAUUUUGUUGGUUUCUAGGAUCAACGUAAUGAUUAAUAGGGAUAGUUGGGGGCAUUAGUAUUCAAUUGUCAGAGGUGAAAUUCUUGGAUUUAUUGAAGACUAACUACUGCGAAAGCAUUUGCCAAGGAUGUUUUCAUUAAUCAAGAACGAAAGUUAGGGGAUCGAAGACGAUCAGAUACCGUCGUAGUCUUAACCAUAAACUAUGCCGACCAGGGAUCGGAUGAUGUUAAUUUUUUAAUGACUCAUUCGGCGCCUUACGGGAAAC
RNAcentral lists this ribosomal RNA (551 nucleotides) under uncultured Glomeromycotina. RNAcentral describes it as "SSU rRNA". It matches the Rfam family "Eukaryotic small subunit ribosomal RNA", at positions 548 to 1098 of the family's 1831-position model. Lineage: Eukaryota; Fungi; Glomeromycota. The record is from RNAcentral.